UCAUCGAUAUAUACAUCUAGAUCCAUGAUUAAUCUUAAAAAUAAACAAUAAAAAAGUCAUAUCAUCUAUAUUCUAUAUCUCCCACUUGCAUCUGUACAUUAAAAUAUCAUCUAUAUCCAUCUAGUUAUUUUUUUCACCAUCCAUACAUCUAUCAUCUAUACAUUAUAUGUUUAUGUGUAUGUACUGCGUUUGUAUCCAUCCAUGUCUUGAUGUCUAUAUGAUCAUAUAUAAUCCAUAUUUGUACAUCUACCCAUCCUCAAAUCCUUUCCACCAUCAGACCCCACCACCACCAUUAAGCCGUCCAAGAGACCGGACCACCACCAUCAUUAUUAUUCCCUGAUUAUUUCAAUAUCAUAUAUAUAUGGGAAGAGAUAUUCGUACCACUGUUUCUGAUUGAUGUACCACAAUGUACAAAUUUUACAGCUGAUUGUACAAUCCAGUAUUACACAAGUGUGGUACAACAAUCAAAACAAAUGGUUUUGGACAGAAUAUAUACAUAUGGAAGACGGUGUGUAUGGAUAUAGGUCGGAAAAGCGGUCGGCUGCCCAAGGGAGAAAUAAGCAGCAGGUCAUCACGCCACUUCUAAUUAAUAGGCUAUUUUGUUUGUUUUUUUUUUUUCUUUUUUGUUUAGAAGAAAGAAGCAGUGUUAUAUAUAUGAUAAGUCUGAUUAUUGUUUGUAUUUGGUGAAUGUAAUUCAAGGGGAAAAAAUUAAUAAUUCUUUUUUAGGUUA
Molecule: long non-coding RNA, 730 nt
Organism: Erigeron canadensis
Lineage: Eukaryota; Viridiplantae; Streptophyta; Magnoliopsida; Asterales; Asteraceae
Exons: 2
Source: RefSeq, a predicted model, not a curated record